UUAUAUUCUGUUAGUUUCUAUUGCAUUUAUUAUUUAUUAGCAUAUAUAAAUUAUCACAGAUUGUUGACUUAUAUCCAACAGUACUAGCCUAAUUUGUAGGAGCCUACAUGACAUGAUUGUUUCAAUUAAAAAGAUCGAAUCCAGCAAUGUUUACAUUGGGGGUUAACCAAACCUUGGUGGCCAGAACGCCUAUCAGCAUCAUUAGCGGAAGAGGUCCCCAAAACAAAACAAAAAAAUUCUUAUUCACCUCAGCUCCUUCGUACAACUUCUUAUAAGCUCCAACCCUUCAUUCUUGAUCUCGUCUAACCGGCGCUCCCACCAGUUUUCUGCCACGCUCGCCUUCAUAACCUAGGUCAUGUGCUUGCCAAGCUUUCUUUCGAUAUUGGCCAACUCUAUCACCUUUAAUCAGCUCAACAUAGCGCUCACUCAGAUUCACAUUACGGUAAGCCUCGACAUGCAAUGUUGCGUAUCAAAACCCAUGAUCAGCUGGUUGUGUGAGGGUCUAAUCUGGAACAUAUCAAUGACCAUCUCAAAGCACGGGUGACCGAAGCAAAACA
This 557-nucleotide long non-coding RNA is filed under the name Malus domestica (apple). RNAcentral describes it as "long non-coding RNA (MDOM_LNC013747)". Lineage: Eukaryota; Viridiplantae; Streptophyta; Magnoliopsida; Rosales; Rosaceae. The record is from RNAcentral.